This 476-nucleotide ribosomal RNA is filed under the name Mammaliicoccus sciuri. Its description in RNAcentral is "bacterial SSU rRNA". It matches the Rfam family "Bacterial small subunit ribosomal RNA", at positions 21 to 479 of the family's 1533-position model. Lineage: Bacteria; Bacillati; Bacillota; Bacilli; Caryophanales; Staphylococcaceae. The record is from RNAcentral.
GGCUCAGGAUGAACGCUGGCGGCGUGCCUAAUACAUGCAAGUCGAGCGAACAGAUGAGAAGCUUGCUUCUCUGAUGUUAGCGGCGGACGGGUGAGUAACACGUGGGUAACCUACCUAUAAGACUGGGAUAACUCCGGGAAACCGGGGCUAAUACCGGAUAAUAUUUUGAACCGCAUGGUUCAAUAGUGAAAGACGGUUUCGGCUGUCACUUAUAGAUGGACCCGCGCCGUAUUAGCUAGUUGGUAAGGUAACGGCUUACCAAGGCGACGAUACGUAGCCGACCUGAGAGGGUGAUCGGCCACACUGGAACUGAGACACGGUCCAGACUCCUACGGGAGGCAGCAGUAGGGAAUCUUCCGCAAUGGGCGAAAGCCUGACGGAGCAACGCCGCGUGAGUGAUGAAGGUCUUCGGAUCGUAAAACUCUGUUGUUAGGGAAGAACAAAUUUGUUAGUAACUGAACAAGUCUGACGGUACC